GACGAACGCUGGCGGCGUGCCUAAUACAUGCAAGUAGAACGCUGAAGAGGGGAGCUUGCUCUUCUUGGAUGAGUUGCGAACGGGUGAGUGAAGCGUAGGUAACCUGCCUUGUUGCGGGGGAUAACUAUGGGAAACGAUAGCUAAUACCGCAUAACCGUGGAUGACACAUGUUAUUUAUUAGAAAGGGGCAGUUGCUCCACUACAAGAUGGACCUGCGUUGUAUUAGCUAGUAGGUGAGGUAAUGGCUCACCUAGGCGACGAUACAUAGCCGACCUGAGAGGGUGAUCGGCCACACUGGGACUGAGACACGGCCCAGACUCCUACGGGAGGCAGCAGUAGGGAAUCUUCGGCAAUGGGGGCAACCCUGACCGAGCAACGCCGCGUGAGUGAAGAAGGUUGUCGGAUCGUAAAGCUCUGUUGUAAGUCAAGAACGGGUGUGAGAGUGGAAAGUUCACACUGUGACGGUAGCUUACCAGAAAGGGACGGCUAACUACGUG
Molecule: ribosomal RNA, 497 nt
Filed under: uncultured bacterium
Lineage: Bacteria
Description: partial 16S ribosomal RNA
Rfam family: Bacterial small subunit ribosomal RNA
Source: RNAcentral